ACCUCCUAAUUUAAAAAAUAUUGUUACUUUAUAAUAUUGUUCAAUGUUCAUAUAUUUCAUCCGGGUUUGAUACUAAAAAUGAAACGUGUAACAACGCUCAUUAUGCGCCGUAUCUCCAGUAUCGAAUCAUAACGUUUUUCAUAUGAAAUUUCAUAUUAAUACGUCUCAUAUUAAAAAUUAAGACUAAAUAUAAGAUAUUCUUGUCGUAUGCGAUCUACUGCCCGUUCCUACAUACAACAUACGUCAUAAGCGGUCUACCACGCAUGUUUCUAUUUAUGAAUAUGUCUAUACCACUACCACAUAGAUGUGAUGGUCGAUGAACCCUUUAUGGUUCGGGAUUCGGAGAUCACGAAGAGUAUAAUAUAGAUUUCGGUUCGUCAACCACCAUCCGCAUAAGACGCGACCCUAUCCAUCUUUAUCGUACACACUGCGAUAAUAUUACGUGUAAGCAAUUCAUAGUGUACACUAAUUUUUGUUUUUUAGACGCCACCAUCAUUGGAACGCCAAAUACGAGGGCAGCAAUGAUGGUGAUGUACCGAUUGUACCAUGAAUUUUUUAAGCUAUAUUUGAAAUUUUAAACCUCCCCAUAAACUUUCUAUGCGUAUAGUGUGUGUGCGCCACUGGUGGAUAUGACAAGAAAUUGAGAAUGGUUGACGGUUUUGUAUUUGUACCUACUACCUACCCUUUAGACUUUAGUUAAGUGGUAGACCACACAUAUGACCUGUAAAAACCAUGCGUGGUAUACGAGAAGUGUGAUGCGUUAGACCGAAUACGACAAGAAUUAACAUAUUUUAAAUUUAUAAAUUUAAGAAAUUAUACAUGAGAUAAGAGCUUCCAACCUAAUAUAGUUAUGAAUAACUUGUUAAAAAACUAGAACUAGCUGCUAC
Rhopalosiphum padi (bird cherry-oat aphid) is the source of this 887-nucleotide long non-coding RNA. RefSeq lists it as uncharacterized. NCBI's taxonomy places the organism in Eukaryota, Metazoa, Arthropoda, Insecta, Hemiptera, Aphididae. The transcript has 3 exons. The record is from RefSeq and is a predicted model, not a curated record.